AUUUAAAAAAAAUGCUGUGAGAGCUGAUCUAUGCAUCUGGUUUGUGAGCCAGUAUUCUGUGAUGGCUGCAGUUUUUAGAGAUCCUAGUAGCUCUACACAUCUGUCUUCUGCUUUCCUAGAACCUGGGCACCCCAUGGAUGACUCACUGCUGGUUUUGUGUGUGUGUGUGUGUGAUUUAAAAUUACAUUCAGUCAACUCUAUAGCCCUAUGGGCUUUUUGAAUAACCAAAUGCUCAACAGUUCUGUAAUCUUUCAGGUUGCUGUGAUCAGUCCCCAAGGAGUCUACACUCUCAAAGAGACUGGGAAAGGCCUGGCCAUGCUGGAUAAGGAGCUGGCUGCCUCUGUGAACAUCCUACUCAAGGCAUCUUCACUGCUGUACAUCCUUUUGAAAUCCCAGAGAUCUUCAGUCUCCCUGUGGAUUAAGGAGAUGUGCAGUAUUUAAAGUGGCUUCAGGAAGGCAUGGAAGAGGACUGAGUGGGGAAAGCUUUUUGUGCAUGCUGCUGGCUACCUCCAGCGGCUGCCUCCAGCCUCCAUCAGCUGCACUCUGGGGAAGAGGAGGCUGCCUUCUACCUCCCAGCAUCUCUGGAUUUCAUGUUCCUGUCAGCACAGAGGAGCUAAAUGGCCUGU
Long non-coding RNA from Homo sapiens (human), 626 nucleotides. Ensembl annotates it as cutA divalent cation tolerance like, pseudogene. Its record names the gene CUTALP. Lineage: Eukaryota; Metazoa; Chordata; Mammalia; Primates; Hominidae. The record is from Ensembl.